RNAcentral lists this ribosomal RNA (373 nucleotides) under uncultured bacterium. RNAcentral describes it as "bacterial SSU rRNA". It matches the Rfam family "Bacterial small subunit ribosomal RNA", at positions 525 to 896 of the family's 1533-position model. The record is from RNAcentral.
ACGGGGGAGGCAAGCGUUGUCCGGAAUCACUGGGUGUAAAGGGCGUGUAGGCGGGCCUUUAAGUCGAUCUGUUAAAUCUCUCCGCUCAACGGAGAAACUGCAGUCGAUACUAUUGGCCUUGAGUGCGGAAGGGGAGAAUGGAAUUCCUGGUGUAGCGGUGAAAUGCGUAGAUAUCAGGAGGAACACCGGUGGCGAAGGCGGUUCUCUGGUCCUGCACUGACGCUGAGGCGCGAAAGCAAGGGGAUCAAACAGACUUAGAUACUCUGGUAGUCCUUGCCCUAAACGAUGGGUACUAGGUGUUCGUCCUUUUUAAGGAUGAGUGCCGCAGCUAACGCAUUAAGUACCCCACCUGGGGAGUACGAUCGCAAGGUUG